AUUGAACGCUGGCGGCAGGCCUAACACAUGCAAGUCGAACGGUAACAGGAAACAGCUUGCUGUUUCGCUGACGAGUGGCGGACGGGUGAGUAAUGUCUGGGAAACUGCCUGAUGGAGGGGGAUAACUACUGGAAACGGUAGCUAAUACCGCAUAACGUCGCAAGACCAAAGAGGGGGACCUUCGGGCCUCUUGCCAUCGGAUGUGCCCAGAUGGGAUUAGCUAGUAGGUGGGGUAACGGCUCACCUAGGCGACGAUCCCUAGCUGGUCUGAGAGGAUGACCAGGCACACUGGAACUGAGACACGGCCCAGACUCCUACGGGAGGCAGCAGUGGGGAAUAUUGCACAAUGGGCGCAAGCCUGAUGCAGCCAUGCCGCGUGUAUGAAGAAGGCCUUCGGGUUGUAAAGUACUUUCAGCGGGGAGGAAGGGAGUAAAGUUAAUACCUUUGCUCAUUGACGUUACCCGCAGAAGAAGCACCGGCUAACUCCGUG
RNAcentral lists this ribosomal RNA (490 nucleotides) under uncultured bacterium. Its description in RNAcentral is "partial 16S ribosomal RNA". It matches the Rfam family "Bacterial small subunit ribosomal RNA", at positions 30 to 507 of the family's 1533-position model. The record is from RNAcentral.